AACGCGAAGAACCUUACCUGGGCUUGAACUACUCGUGGUAGUUUGCUGGAAACAGUGAACGACCCGCAAGGGAGCGAGCAGAGGUGCUGCAUGGUUGUCGUCAGCUCGUGUCGUGAGAUGUUGGGUUAAGUCCCGCAACGAGCGCAACCCCUAUCCAAUGUUGCUACUCCCGCAAGGGAGGCACUCUUUGGAAACUGCCUUCGAUAAGAAGGAGGAAGGUGGGGACGACGUCAAAUCCUCAUGGCCCUUAUGUCCAGGGCUACACACGUGUUACAAUGGCCGGUACAAUGGGAAGCAAUACCGUAAGGUGGAGCCAAACCCCAAAGCCGGCCCCAGUUCAGAUUGUGGGCUGCAACUCGCCCACAUGAAGGCGGAAUCGCUAGUAAUCGCUGAUCAGCAGGCAGCGGUGAAUACGUUCCCGGGCCUUGUA
This 430-nucleotide ribosomal RNA is filed under the name uncultured Elusimicrobium sp. Its description in RNAcentral is "bacterial SSU rRNA". It matches the Rfam family "Bacterial small subunit ribosomal RNA", at positions 958 to 1385 of the family's 1533-position model. Lineage: Bacteria; Pseudomonadati; Elusimicrobiota; Elusimicrobia; Elusimicrobiales; Elusimicrobiaceae. The record is from RNAcentral.